CGCUCGUAGCUCAGCUGGAUAGAGUACCUGGCUACGAACCAGGCGGUCAGAGGUUCGAAUCCUCUCGAGCGCGCCA
RNAcentral lists this transfer RNA (76 nucleotides) under Vibrio cholerae. RNAcentral's name for it is "tRNA-Arg". It matches the Rfam family "tRNA". Rfam says of the family: Transfer RNA (tRNA) molecules are approximately 80 nucleotides in length. Their secondary structure includes four short double-helical elements and three loops (D, anti-codon, and T loops). Further hydrogen bonds mediate the characteristic L-shaped molecular structure. tRNAs have two regions of fundamental functional importance: the anti-codon, which is responsible for specific mRNA codon recognition, and the 3' end, to which the tRNAs corresponding amino acid is attached (by aminoacyl-tRNA synthetases). tRNAs cope with the degeneracy of the genetic code in two manners: having more than one tRNA (with a specific anti-codon) for a particular amino acid; and 'wobble' base-pairing, i.e. permitting non-standard base-pairing at the 3rd anti-codon position. Lineage: Bacteria; Pseudomonadati; Pseudomonadota; Gammaproteobacteria; Vibrionales; Vibrionaceae. RNAcentral also lists the same sequence under 4 other names. The record is from RNAcentral.